UACGUAGGGUGCAGGCGUUAAUCGGAAUUACUGGGCGUAAAGCGUGCGCAGGCGGUUUGCUAAGACAGGUGUGAAAUCCCCGGGCUUAACCUGGGAACUGCGCUUGUUACUGGCAAGCUUGAGUGUGGCAGAGGGGGGUGGAAUUCCUAGUGUAGAGGUGAAAUUCGUAGAUAUUAGGAAGAACACCAGUGGCGAAGGCGGCUCACUGGCCCGGUACUGACGCUGAGGCGCGAAAGCGUGGGGAGCAAACAGG
This 253-nucleotide ribosomal RNA is filed under the name uncultured bacterium. RNAcentral's name for it is "partial 16S ribosomal RNA". It matches the Rfam family "Bacterial small subunit ribosomal RNA", at positions 524 to 776 of the family's 1533-position model. The record is from RNAcentral.